Molecule: microRNA precursor, 208 nt
Filed under: Medicago truncatula (barrel medic)
Lineage: Eukaryota; Viridiplantae; Streptophyta; Magnoliopsida; Fabales; Fabaceae
Description: MIR2630 microRNA precursor family
Rfam family: MIR2630 microRNA precursor family
Source: Rfam by way of RNAcentral
CCCUGCAAAUAUAAAAUAUUUGGUUUUUGUCUUUGGUAUAUUGUUUUAAUCCUUGUAAAAUCAUUUCAUAUUGAAAUUGGUCCCUAUAAUAUUCAUUUUAGUCCUCAUUUUGAAGGACUAAAAUCAAAUAUUCUACAUAUUACAAGUAUCAAAUCCAAUAUGAAUCAAUUUUACAAGGACCAUCCCAAAUUUUUUAUAUUUGCAGGGA